UACGAAGGGUGCACACGUUGCUCGGAAUUAUUGGGCGUAAAGCGCACGUAGGCGGCUUAGUAAGUCGGAUGUGAAAUCCCUCGGCUCAACCAAGGAAGUGCAUCCGAAACUGCUGAGCUUGAGUACGAAAGAGGAUCGCGGAAUUCCCGGUGUAGAGGUGAAAUUCGUAGAUAUCGGGAGGAACACCAGUGGCGAAGGCGGCGAUCUGGGUCGAUACUGACGCUGAGGUGCGAAAGCGUGGGGAGCAAACAGG
This 253-nucleotide ribosomal RNA is filed under the name uncultured bacterium. RNAcentral describes it as "partial 16S ribosomal RNA". It matches the Rfam family "Bacterial small subunit ribosomal RNA", at positions 524 to 776 of the family's 1533-position model. The record is from RNAcentral.